RNAcentral lists this ribosomal RNA (1081 nucleotides) under Nakamurella silvestris. RNAcentral describes it as "bacterial SSU rRNA". It matches the Rfam family "Bacterial small subunit ribosomal RNA", at positions 1 to 1072 of the family's 1533-position model. Lineage: Bacteria; Bacillati; Actinomycetota; Actinomycetes; Nakamurellales; Nakamurellaceae. The record is from RNAcentral.
UUUAACUGAAGAGUUUGAUCAUGGCUCAGAUUGAACGCUGGCGGCAGGCUUAACACAUGCAAGUCGAGCGGGGGAGGUUGCUUCGGUAACUGACCUAGCGGCGGACGGGUGAGUAAUACUUAGGAAUCUGCCUAUUAAUGGGGGACAACAUCUCGAAAGGGAUGCUAAUACCGCAUACGCCCUACGGGGGAAAGCAGGGGAUCACUUGUGACCUUGCGUUAAUAGAUGAGCCUAAGUCGGAUUAGCUAGUUGGUGGGGUAAAGGCCUACCAAGGCGACGAUCUGUAGCGGGUCUGAGAGGAUGAUCCGCCACACUGGGACUGAGACACGGCCCAGACUCCUACGGGAGGCAGCAGUGGGGAAUAUUGGACAAUGGGGGGAACCCUGAUCCAGCCAUGCCGCGUGUGUGAAGAAGGCCUUAUGGUUGUAAAGCACUUUAAGCGAGGAGGAGGCUCUUUUGGUUAAUACCCAAGAUGAGUGGACGUUACUCGCAGAAUAAGCACCGGCUAACUCUGUGCCAGCAGCCGCGGUAAUACAGAGGGUGCGAGCGUUAAUCGGAUUUACUGGGCGUAAAGCGUGCGUAGGCGGCUUUUUAAGUCGGAUGUGAAAUCCCCGAGCUUAACUUGGGAAUUGCAUUCGAUACUGGGAAGCUAGAGUAUGGGAGAGGAUGGUAGAAUUCCAGGUGUAGCGGUGAAAUGCGUAGAGAUCUGGAGGAAUACCGAUGGCGAAGGCAGCCAUCUGGCCUAAUACUGACGCUGAGGUACGAAAGCAUGGGGAGCAAACAGGAUUAGAUACCCUGGUAGUCCAUGCCGUAAACGAUGUCUACUAGCCGUUGGGGUCUUUGAGACUUUAGUGGCGCAGCUAACGCGAUAAGUAGACCGCCUGGGGAGUACGGUCGCAAGACUAAAACUCAAAUGAAUUGACGGGGGCCCGCACAAGCGGUGGAGCAUGUGGUUUAAUUCGAUGCAACGCGAAGAACCUUACCUGGUCUUGACAUAGUAAGAACUUUCCAGAGAUGGAUUGGUGCCUUCGGGAACUUACAUACAGGUGCUGCAUGGCUGUCGUCAGCUCGUGUCGUGAGA